Molecule: ribosomal RNA, 405 nt
Filed under: uncultured bacterium
Lineage: Bacteria
Description: partial 16S ribosomal RNA
Rfam family: Bacterial small subunit ribosomal RNA
Source: RNAcentral
AUUGAACGCUAGCGGGAUGCCUUACACAUGCAAGUCGAACGAGUGGCGGACGUGUGGGCAAUAUAUCGGCACGUGCCCAGUAGCGGGGGAUAACUACUCGAACGAGUGGCUAAUACCGCAUACUAUUGCAGCGGCCGAUAUCGGAGUAGCUAGUUGGGGGGGUAAAGGAUCACCAAGGCAACGAUCCGUAGCUGGUUUGAGAGGACGACCAGCCACACUGGGACUGAGACACGGCCCAGACUCCGACGGGAGGCAGAAGUGGGGAAUUGUGGACAAUGGGGGAAACCCUGAUCCAGCCAUCCCGCGGGUAUGAGAAGGCCUUCGGGUUGUAAAGUACUUUUGGCAGGGAGGCGUUAUCUGCAGAAUAAGCACCGGCUAACUCCGUGCAAGCAGCCGCGGUAAUAC